AUGGAGGAGAGGCCAGUGGCGGCCACCUCGUGGAAGCUCUGCACCGUGACUCAAGUGGAGGAGCUCAAGAUCCUGCUCCGCCUGCUGGCUGCUGCCCAUCCGGAUCGCCAGCAUCAUUGUGUCAUCGGCCUUCUCGUAGAUGAACACCACGUUCGGGCAACAAGGCAGCGCCAUGGACAUGACCAUCCUGUCGGUGCCGGUGCCCGCGGCGUCGCUGGCCUCCUUCGAGGUGAUCUGCGUCCUGACAUGGGUGCUACUCUACAAUCAACAACAAGGUGA
Molecule: ribosomal RNA, 279 nt
Filed under: Triticum aestivum (bread wheat)
Lineage: Eukaryota; Viridiplantae; Streptophyta; Magnoliopsida; Poales; Poaceae
Description: partial small subunit ribosomal RNA
Source: RNAcentral